This 662-nucleotide ribosomal RNA is filed under the name uncultured marine bacterium. Its description in RNAcentral is "bacterial SSU rRNA". It matches the Rfam family "Bacterial small subunit ribosomal RNA", at positions 819 to 1482 of the family's 1533-position model. The record is from RNAcentral.
GCUGUUAGGAGACUAUGUCUUUUAGUGGCGCAGCUAACGUUUUAAGUUGUCCGCCUGGGGAGUACGGCCGCAAGGCUAAAACUCAAAUGAAUUGACGGGGACCCGCACAAGCAGUGGAUCAUGUGGUUUAAUUCGAUGCAACGCGAAAAACCUUACCUACUCUUGACAUACUUGGAAGCUCUUGUAAUGAGAGUGUGCUUUUAAGAACCAAGAUACAGGUGCUGCAUGGCUGUCGUCAGCUCGUGUCGUGAGAUGUUCCGUUAAGUCGGAUAACGAGCGCAACCCUUACCCUUAUUUGCCAGCGAUUCGGUCGGGAACUAUAAGGGGGCUGCCGGUGAUAAACCGGAGGAAGGUGAGGACGACGUCAAGUCAUCAUGGCCCUUACGAGUAGGGCUACACACGUGAUACAAUGGGAGAGACAGACGGACGCUAAGCCGCGAGGUGGUGCUAAUCCUAGAAACUCUCUCGUAGUCCGGAUUGGAGUCUGCAACUCGACUCCAUGAAGUUGGAAUUGCUAGUAAUCGCGGAUCAGCAUGCCGCGGUGAAUACGUUCUCGGGUCUUGUACACACCGCCCGUCACACCAUGGAAGUGGAUUGCACCAGAAGUAGAUAGUCUAACCUUAGGGAGGGCGUUUACCACGGUGUGCUUCAUGACUGGGGUG